Molecule: ribosomal RNA, 253 nt
Filed under: uncultured bacterium
Lineage: Bacteria
Description: partial 16S ribosomal RNA
Rfam family: Bacterial small subunit ribosomal RNA
Source: RNAcentral
UACGUAGGCAGCGAGCGUUGUUCGGAGUUACUGGGCGUAAAGAGUGCGUAGGCGGUUUUUUAAGUUUGGUGUGAAAUCUCCCGGCUUAACUGGGAGGGUGCGCCGAAGACUGGAAGGCUUGAGUAUGGGAGAGGUAAGCGGAAUUCCUGGUGUAGCGGUGAAAUGCGUAGAUAUCAGGAGGAACACCUGCGGUGUAGACGGCUUACUGGACCAUAACUGACGCUGAGGCACGAAGGCGUGGGUAGCAAACAGG